AGCCAAUGUGGUGUAGUGGUUUGAAUGCUGGACUACAACUCUGGAGACCAGGGUUUGAAUCCCCGCUGGGCUA
Molecule: non-coding RNA, 73 nt
Organism: Phrynosoma platyrhinos (Desert horned lizard)
Lineage: Eukaryota; Metazoa; Chordata; Lepidosauria; Squamata; Phrynosomatidae
Source: the annotation of a GenBank genome assembly